RNAcentral lists this long non-coding RNA (945 nucleotides) under Parus major (Great Tit). RNAcentral describes it as "lncRNA (ENSPMJG00000009337.1)". The record is from RNAcentral. Lineage: Eukaryota; Metazoa; Chordata; Aves; Passeriformes; Paridae.
CAUGAAUACAUCUGCUGACUUGAAGUCUCCCAGGAUCAUAGAUUUUUGUGCUGCUCGCCUUGGAAGAGGUGAGCUCCUUCCUCUUGGUGUAUCGCUGGGGUUUGCUGCAUGCCCCCACUCACAUCACAUGGUCCUGCCCUAGGACCCUGAGAGCCUCCUCCAACAGCAGGUCAGUUUGGCUUGGAGCUAAAGGACAAAUCCAUGGUGUACAUCAGCCCUGCCUUUCGAUGUGGUGCCAGUGUGUUGGGCUGCCAUUCAGGAGAACCGAGGUGGAAAUGGAAGCCAAACUACACGUGGCUCUUGGGUGUCUCUCUGUAUGAUAAACCAGGGGGGUGCACUGUGCCAUUUCUCAACAAUGCAUGCAUUUUCUUUCCAUUGAAAUGCUAUGGUUGGUGUUACAGUUUUCAAAUUAAAAACUGAAUGUGUUUGAAUAUUUUCCCACACAAACAUUUCUUUGACUUGCAAAAUUCUUUUCUGUUAAAAGUGUCAGAGUGGAUUUUUAACCCAUUCUAAGAAAUUUUCUGCUGUCAAAAAUGACUAAUAUCCUAAACUCUCUUAAGAGUUAUUUGUCCCCAUUUUCCUUGCUGAAAAACGAUGAUUUCUGGAAUUGUUUUUGUUUUGUUUUGUUUUCUUUUUUCUCCCUUUAGUAUUCUUCUAGCAUCUCCAUAGUUUUUUCUCACCCAUGUAUAGCACUAAACUUUGGAAAGAGUGAUUUUUCUGAACAUGGAAAGUAAAAGAAAUGGCACAGUAGUUCAGCUGGGAUUAAGAAGAGAUUUAAGCCAAGCCUGAUCUAUAGGGAGAACUUUUCUGGAACCAAAAUGCUCCUACAGGUUUUUUUUUUUGAGCUUAGUAUUUUUUGGAAGUUCAAUGUACACUUCUACAAGGACUUCCAAAUGUAUCUUGUUCACUAAUAAAUUCCAAAUAAUUAUUGCUGGCUUUUGGGCU